Molecule: long non-coding RNA, 1380 nt
Filed under: Anas platyrhynchos platyrhynchos (common mallard)
Lineage: Eukaryota; Metazoa; Chordata; Aves; Anseriformes; Anatidae
Description: lncRNA (ENSAPLG00000024416.1)
Source: RNAcentral
AUGGUGUGCACCCACAUCCCAGCCUCUCUCAAACAGACCGGAGGAAAAAUCCACAAGGGACAAGGGAUGUGCUGCCCUGAGCCGGCCGGAGGAGCAGCGCUGGCGGCAGCCGCUAGGGAUCAGCCUUGCCCCGCUCUUCAGCGCUGCGCCCGGCGCCGUCGCCGUGCUCGCCUCCCUCGCCGCCCGACCUCCGGCUUUUCACAGCUGGUUUUUCUGUCAAGUUAUUUUUCUUUGGAACGUGCGUGUUCGUUGCAGGGCAUUUUCACAUUCCCCUGCGCUUUCUCUCAUCGUUUUCAACUUCUUUGCCAUUAAUUAGCCGGCAGCGCGGGGGAUACGUUUCCUUGUAGAGAAAUUUGGGGAGUUUUGCUGCUGCAGAAGUGCAAAACUCCUGCCACUUCUGCAGACUAUUUGCUUUGGUUUAGCUAAUUUUUAUACUGUACUCUAUUGGUAAUACUAUAUUAUAAUCUUUUAGACUUCAUUUUUUCCCCCACACUCCUACCCGCUGUCAUAUCACCGCUACGACCUGGAUGUGCCCACUAGCGCUGUGCUCACACCAUGUCCUUAAGUAGCAACUUUUCCUUAGCUAUGUGCAAAUCUGGGAGGGGGGAGAAAAAAACAGACAAAGGGAAAGGAUGUUCACCUUUUCUACAAGCGUAAUCCCAUCCCAAACCCCAGUGUGCUCUCAGAGAUGGGAACACCAGUGCCAAGCCGAGUGCGGUCCCAUACGCUUGGGGUAGGGCUGGUGGGCAUCCAUCCACCAUCCGUGCCCACACCACCACAGUUACUGGUGUGCUAACUGGGGGCACCAGGGGAUGGUGAUGCCGUGCUGCUGCAUUGCCAAAGUGGCACAUGGUGGCCCUUCAAAAGCAGCAGCACAGCAGCUGCUUCCCCUGGAGCAGAGCAGUUUCAGCUCCUGUUUAGUUUCUUGCUGAGGUUUUAAUGCUGCAGUUUAGCUCGUAGUUUCCAUGUUUCAGAUAUUUCAGAACUUCACUAAUCGCCUCUCAUUUUGCACCUCGGAAGUAUAUUGGACAUGAUGAGCUGACAUAACCAGCCAUGACAAAUUAUUGUGGAGAUGUGGGAAGCACACAGAAUACAAAGGGGAACGAUGCACCAGGAACUGAGCUCCAACUUCAUCUGUGUCACAGGACCUCAGAUAUAAAUCUGUCCCAGGCAGAACUGUGUUCACUGCCAGGAUUUGUCCCAGUGCUUUAUUUAUGACUGGGAUUGUCUUCUGAAAUGAAGAGCUCCAGCUUUAAUUUGCAUGCUUUAGUGUCCAUAUAUUUACAUAAGCAAGUGCAUCUGACACGAUAUGCCUAUGUUUUGGAUGCGUGCCUUAAGUGAAACAGUUAAUCUGCAAUAAAUAUUUAUAGUUAACUACCA